GGAACUUCUAUCCCAUUCCCAUGCUGCUGUCAUGACAUCCACUGGAUUCUCAGCUGGGUCGGCUGUCUAGAUAUCAUGUCCCUGCUGCAAAGUGGAACUCCGUGAGCUACCGUGAGCAGCCCAGCACCUCAGAGGAACCUAGGAUCAAUCGGGUUCUGGCCCCGCUUGCGGAGAGUCACGGCUCGCCCGCCACCUAGUGAUGCUGAGAAAGGCAAGGAAAAGAAUUUCCCCUAGAGUCUGCAGACAAGAGUGCAGCCUGUGGAUUUUAGCCCAGCGAGGACCAUGUCAGACUUCUGCAGAACUGACACUGACAGGUUAACUGGGCAAGCAGAUGCUGUAUUCAUCACUCGUGGUUUCUGUGCUGCUGUCUGUGUCAG
Long non-coding RNA from Budorcas taxicolor (takin), 377 nucleotides. RefSeq lists it as uncharacterized. The record is from RefSeq and is a predicted model, not a curated record. Lineage: Eukaryota; Metazoa; Chordata; Mammalia; Artiodactyla; Bovidae. The transcript has 4 exons.